UCAAUUCGAGUCGUGUUACGUUGC
RNAcentral lists this non-coding RNA (24 nucleotides) under Arabidopsis thaliana (thale cress). Lineage: Eukaryota; Viridiplantae; Streptophyta; Magnoliopsida; Brassicales; Brassicaceae. The record is from RNAcentral.